Oncorhynchus keta (chum salmon) is the source of this 1042-nucleotide long non-coding RNA. RefSeq lists it as uncharacterized. Lineage: Eukaryota; Metazoa; Chordata; Actinopteri; Salmoniformes; Salmonidae. The record is from RefSeq and is a predicted model, not a curated record. The transcript has 4 exons.
CCCUACUAUUACAGGCCCUACUAUUACAGGCCCUACUAUUACAGGCCCUACUAUUACAGGCCCUACUAUACAGGCCCUACUACACAGGCUUACACCUUUAUCCUAAAGGAGUAGCAGACCCUUGUUGUCUUCCUGUGAUUAGAGCCCUACUAUACAGGUCAGACUCACUCCAGGGGUAAAGGCUAAAACCAGGCUCACUCCAGGGGAAGGGCUAACAUCAGGCUAACACCAGGCUCACUCCAGGGGAAAGGCUAACAUCAGGCUAACUCCAGGUGUAAGGCUAACAUCAGGCUAACUCCAGGUGUAAGGCUAACAUCAGGCUAACUCCAGGUGUAAGGCUAACAUCAGGCUAACUCCAGGUGUAAGGCUAACAUCAGGCUAACUCCAGGUGUAAGGCUAACAUCAGGCUAACUCCAGGUGUAAGGCUAACAUCAGGCUAACUCCAGGGGUAAGGCUAACAUCAGGCUAACAUCAGGCUCACUCCAGGGGUAAGGCUAACAUCAGGUUAACAUCAGGUUAACAUCAGGCUCACUCCAGGGGUAAGGCUAACAUCAGGUUAACAUCAGGUUAACAUCAGGCUCACUCCAGGGGUAAGGCUAACAUCAGGCUAACUCCAGGUGUAAGGCUAACAUCAGGCUAACUCCAGGUGUAAGGCUAACAUCAGGCUAACUCCAGGUGUAAGGCUAACAUCAGGUUAACAUCAGGCUCACUCCAGGGGUAAGGCUAACAUCAGGUUAACACCAGGCUCACUCCAGGGGUAAGGCUAACAUCAGGUUAACACCAGGCUCACUGCAGGGGUAAGGCUAACAUCAGGUUAACACCAGGCUCACUCCAGGGGUAAGGCUAACAUCAGGUUAACACCAGGCUCACUGCAGGGGUAAGGCUAACAUCAGGUUAACACCAGGCUCACUGCAGGGGUAAGGCUAACAUCAGGUUAACACCAGGCUCACUCCAGGGACAAUCACAGGGUAGUUUAUUUAGCUGUUCACACUGGGGUUUUGCACCAUUGCAGGCCGUAGGCCAUAUUACUGUGUGUGUGUGU